UGCAGGACCAACAAGGUUGCAGGACAUAGA
This 30-nucleotide non-coding RNA is filed under the name Rattus norvegicus (Norway rat). The record is from RNAcentral. Lineage: Eukaryota; Metazoa; Chordata; Mammalia; Rodentia; Muridae.